Molecule: long non-coding RNA, 900 nt
Filed under: Ananas comosus (pineapple)
Lineage: Eukaryota; Viridiplantae; Streptophyta; Magnoliopsida; Poales; Bromeliaceae
Description: long non-coding RNA (ACOM_LNC006703)
Source: RNAcentral
CCCCUGUUACAAUUCAAUCACUAUUUCGUCAAUUUCUUAUAAUUUAUAUUGAUAAUAUCUUUGAUAAUAAAAAAAAAUAUAUUAUUUUUUUCUAUAAAAUAAAUAAAAAUAAUUUAAUAGUUUUGCCCUCACAGUUAAAACCCUAAGGUAUCAUUUGGUUCGAGAAUAAGCAAAAAAUGGGUAUUCCGGAGAUAGGUAUAAAUUGAGGUGUAAGCAAGGAUUAGAUCAAUUUUGCGUUUGGAUGAAAAUUGGGUUAUUCCUGGAAAUAAGAAAAAUAGUGUUUGGUUAGAUUAGAUGGAAUAAGAAUUAAAGUUGGUAAUUAUAAAUAAAAAAUAAUAUUAUUAUUCUUUUCUUUAUAUUAGAAUUUGAAUUUUUAUAUUUUAUAUUUAUAUUUUAAAAUUUAAAAUAUAAACUUUUAAAUUUUAAAAAUCAAAAUUAAAUUUUAAAAUUUUAAAAUCUCAAAUUUAUAAUUUUAAAAAAUUAAAAUUUUAAAUUUUAAACUUUAAAUUUAAGAUGAAAUUUUAAUUUAAAAAUACAAAAUAUCAAGUUCUAAAUAAAAAAAAUUUAAAAUAUCAAAUUUUAAAAUUUAAAAUUAAACAAUUUAAGUUUUAAAUUUUAAAUUUUGUAAUUUUAAAAAUUAUAAAUUUUAAUUUUUAAACUUACGAAAUUUAAAUUUUAUAAUAAAUUAAAAAUUCUCUCACUCACUCACACACUCUCUCUCUCUCUCUCUUCACGGGUAGAAUAUGCUGGGUUAUCCCAGCUUGUUCCACCUUGAAGUGGGAACACUAGUUCCCACCUCUUAACGGACUAUUCUAGAAUAGCCCGUUAAGGAGGAAAUUAGUGUUCCCAUCAUUUUUUAUUUAUGUUUGGAGAAUAAGGGUGGAAUAAACCCUUUAUUCC